Molecule: long non-coding RNA, 224 nt
Filed under: Brassica napus (rape)
Lineage: Eukaryota; Viridiplantae; Streptophyta; Magnoliopsida; Brassicales; Brassicaceae
Description: long non-coding RNA (BNAP_LNC006608)
Source: RNAcentral
CUUGAAGACCCAAGAUCACAUGUGUCUGUGUAGAUCGUAGAUCGUAAUAUCUUCCAGCCCCUAUCAAUUCCGGUCUUUUUCAUAUCUUCAUUCAACCCAAUCAAUCCUGAUUGAUCCCCUCGGAUCAGAUCAUUGCGAACUUUCCCUUGUUUGCUAAUACCGUAAUCCUGAUGAAGAUUCGGUAUCUCCUGUGCUAUUCCGACCCUCUUUCUCCCGGAUCCCAC